AAAAAAAAAAAAAAGGCAGAAAGAACAAAAAGCAGUACAGGAAACUAAAAUGUGCAAGAAAAGGCAAAAAAAAAGAAAGAAAAAAAGAAUAAAAAGGCUUCGUGAGAAGUUCACGAAGCGAGAAAUAAAUGAUGAUGUGACCAAUGAAAAGGAAAGUUGUGACUCAUUUCUGAAAAGGUCCUCCUUCAAAGCAAGAGGAGACACAUUUCCACAAGAAGGGUGGAAAAUAGAAUACGCAGGGUGGGCUGAGCUGUUUCGAUAGAUUACACCUAAUAAUAUAGAAAGUAUGUCCUUAAUUUAGUUUGAAUGUUCUGCCAAUAUUUAUAAUUUUCUGCUUAUUUAAUAUCUACUGUGCUGCUGAAUGAGAAUAAUGUGCUUUUUUAUUAAUAUUUCACUGAACAGUUAAGAGGAAAAGUUUAAAGAGAACUGAUAUGACAUAUUGAUAGCUCUUUGGUAAUUGAUAAAAUCACAUUUUGUGCACUUAAUCUAAAUCCUCCUCUGUAGGUUUCUCGACCUGCGAAUCCUCCCAUGCAUUGUCUAGAACAGGAACCAGGUGUCUUCUUUAGUCACUUCUGAGAGGCAGCAGUGCAGAUAUGCUCGACGGCUGCUGGAUCGUUCGGAUGACUGCAGUGCUCUCCGUCGUCUGUCCUGCGUUUUCUGAGGCUCAGUUUAGCUUGAGGAAAAGGCGAGACUUCAAAUCAGGCUACAAAGAGUCACACUCGUGUGUAAGUGAGGGGAAGCCACUCUCCUGGAUAAUGCUGGCUGCAGGCUGUGGGCUAUUUGCUUUAUACAACCUCAUUGUGACAACUGUAGCCUGUUACUUUGGUAGGAAACUGAAAAAUGCAGAGACGGAGACUCAGAGCGAGUACUACAACACAAGGCCUGGAGAAUUCAGAAGAGCCAGAUGAGUUCAGAAUCCAGAUCCAGCUGCCCAAACCAAACGACCAAGAUGAUAAAAGCGGGAUCAUAUACAAUCAUAUGCUACUACAGUUUUUAAGUGCUUAUAUUGACAUAUCUAGCCUAUAUAGCAUCUAACUAGAAGUGCAAAUUGGCUAACAUAUAACAUAUAAUGUAACAUAUAAAUAAGUGCAAAAUGUAUGUGUGAAUGAGCUUAAUGAAGUAGAAUAUUUCAUGUGCAGGCAUGGAACAAUAUUAUGCAUAAAUGGAAAACAGCUAAAGUUAGCAGUGCAGAAUUAAAUAAAGAAAAAAGUGUGAACA
RNAcentral lists this long non-coding RNA (1218 nucleotides) under Astyanax mexicanus (Mexican tetra). Its description in RNAcentral is "lncRNA (ENSAMXG00005008508.1)". Lineage: Eukaryota; Metazoa; Chordata; Actinopteri; Characiformes; Acestrorhamphidae. The record is from RNAcentral.